AACGAACGCUGGCGGCGCGCUUAACACAUGCAAGUCGAACGGUAGCAGACCUAGCUUGCUAGGUGCUGACGAGUGGCGGACGGGUGAGUAACGCGUGGGAAUCUGCCCAGUAGCGGGGGACAACUCGGGGAAACUCGAGCUAAUACCGCAUACGCCCUACGGGGGAAAGGCUUCGGCCACUAUUGGAUGAGCCCGCGUCGGAUUAGCUUGUUGGUGGGGUAAUGGCCUACCAAGGCGACGAUCCGUAGCUGGUCUGAGAGGAUGAUCAGCCACACUGGGACUGAGACACGGCCCAGACUCCUACGGGAGGCAGCAGUGGGGAAUAUUGGACAAUGGGCGAAAGCCUGAUCCAGCAAUGCCGCGUGUGUGAAGAAGGCCUGCGGGUUGUAAAGCACUUUCAGUAGGGAAGAUUAUGACGGUACCUACAGAAGAAGCACCGGCUAACUCCGUGCCAGCAGCCGCGG
RNAcentral lists this ribosomal RNA (464 nucleotides) under uncultured bacterium. Its description in RNAcentral is "bacterial SSU rRNA". It matches the Rfam family "Bacterial small subunit ribosomal RNA", at positions 29 to 520 of the family's 1533-position model. The record is from RNAcentral.